RNAcentral lists this ribosomal RNA (253 nucleotides) under uncultured prokaryote. RNAcentral describes it as "partial 16S ribosomal RNA". It matches the Rfam family "Bacterial small subunit ribosomal RNA", at positions 524 to 776 of the family's 1533-position model. The record is from RNAcentral.
UACAGAGGGGGCCAGCGUUAUUCGGAAUUAUUGGGCGUAAAGGGUGCGUAGGCGGCGCGAUAAGUCGGGUGUGAAAUCUCGGAGCUUAACUCCGAAACUGCAUUCGAUACUGCCGUGCUUGAGGACUGGAGAGGAGACUGGAAUUUACGGCGUAGCGGUGAAAUGCGUAGAUAUCGUAAGGAAGACCAGUGGCGAAGGCGGGUCUCUGGACAGUUCCUGACGCUGAGGCACGAAGGUCAGGGGAGCAAACGGG